GUGCCCACUUCAGUAACACAUAGAAAAAAUAUCUGAAGCAAUUCAGAGAAGAUUAUCGCAAUCUCCAAACAAGGAUGACACAGAAAUUUGUAAAUUUCAUAUUUU
RNAcentral lists this small nuclear RNA (105 nucleotides) under Cervus elaphus hippelaphus. Lineage: Eukaryota; Metazoa; Chordata; Mammalia; Artiodactyla; Cervidae. The record is from RNAcentral.